ACACACUUAGACCAACGUCACCAAACCCUUCGCACGCUUACAGUCUAAGCUCCAUCGCACAACCAAACGCCUACGCACGCCGUCACAGCCGCCUCCGCUGCCAGGAAAGCCUCCCCGUCGUCUUCGCUCCCACCACUGGAGUCGCCGUUUGCUCUCCGGCCUCUGUAGUUGAAGUUCGUCGGCCUGUUCUCCGAAGCUGUCGCACACUCGCACUGAACUACUGAAGGUCGAAACCCUCGUCCUAAACCCUUGAGUCGCCGUCUGCUUUCCGGCCUCUGCAGCAGAAGUCUAUCGCCCUGUUCUACGAAGCCGUCGCACUGAACUACUGAAGGCAGAAGCUGUCGCUCUGAGUGGCCGUCUGCUCUCCGGCCUCCGCAACCGCAAGCUGCACAGCCGUGUUUCUUGCUCAAGCACUGAGAUUCAUUGAGACAGCAAGAGCUAGGAUUGAGAAAGCUAGGGACAACUGCUUGACUUUUGAUCAUUAGCAACUCUCAGAGCUCUUCUUGGCGAGAACACGAAACAGUGGUGGAGAAGUGUAGAAAGUUUUGCAGAACUUACAUUCAUCUAUACCAUCAAGAAAUUGCAUUUGCAGGUAUACCCAUCAUCUACACUUGAUCAAAGUCAUUGAAGUAGAAGGCUGUGGAUGCUGCAUUGAUCACAGCCAUAGAAGAAGUGCCGAAUUUGAGGGCUUAUUUGGGUGCAUCGAGCAUACUUAAGUAGUAUAUAUUUUUGUUGUAUGGUAUUUAUAGUCUAUUGUUGGAAGUACUAUGAACAUGACUAUUUUUGUUGUAAAUAUUUUUGAUGUUUAAAUAUAU
Ipomoea nil (Japanese morning glory) is the source of this 815-nucleotide long non-coding RNA. RefSeq lists it as uncharacterized. The record is from RefSeq and is a predicted model, not a curated record. Lineage: Eukaryota; Viridiplantae; Streptophyta; Magnoliopsida; Solanales; Convolvulaceae. The transcript has 4 exons.